UGAAGUGGCGGAAUGGUAGACGCACAGGACUUAAAAUCCUGUGGUAGCAAUACCGUGAGGGUUCAAGUCCCUCCUUCAGC
This 80-nucleotide transfer RNA is filed under the name bovine gut metagenome. It matches the Rfam family "tRNA". From Rfam's summary of the family: Transfer RNA (tRNA) molecules are approximately 80 nucleotides in length. Their secondary structure includes four short double-helical elements and three loops (D, anti-codon, and T loops). Further hydrogen bonds mediate the characteristic L-shaped molecular structure. tRNAs have two regions of fundamental functional importance: the anti-codon, which is responsible for specific mRNA codon recognition, and the 3' end, to which the tRNAs corresponding amino acid is attached (by aminoacyl-tRNA synthetases). tRNAs cope with the degeneracy of the genetic code in two manners: having more than one tRNA (with a specific anti-codon) for a particular amino acid; and 'wobble' base-pairing, i.e. permitting non-standard base-pairing at the 3rd anti-codon position. The record is from RNAcentral.